Molecule: ribosomal RNA, 741 nt
Filed under: uncultured Ascomycota
Lineage: Eukaryota; Fungi; Ascomycota
Description: LSU rRNA
Rfam family: Eukaryotic large subunit ribosomal RNA
Source: RNAcentral
ACUUUUCUAUGGGCAGGCCAGCAUCAGUUCGGGCGGUUGGAGAAAGACCUGUGUCACGUAGCUCUCUUCGGGGAGUGUUAUAGGGCAGGUGGAAUGCAACCAGCCUGAACUGAGGUCCGCGCAUCUGCUAGGAUGCUGGCGUAAUGGCUGUAAGCGGCCCGUCUUGAAACACGGACCAAGGAGUCUAACAUCUAUGCGAGUGCUUGGGUGUCAAGCCCGAGCGCGUAAUGAAAGUGAACGGAGGUGGGAACCCCUCGGGGCGCACCAUCGACCGAUCCUGAUGUCUUCGGAUGGAUUUGAGUAAGAGCAUAGCUGUUGGGACCCGAAAGAUGGUGAACUAUGCCUGAAUAGGGUGAAGCCAGAGGAAACUCUGGUGGAGGCUCGCAGCGGUUCUGACGUGCAAAUCGAUCGUCAAAUUUGGGCAUAGGGGCGAAAGACUAAUCGAACUAUCUAGUAGCUGGUUCCUGCCGAAGUUUCCCUCAGGAUAGCAGUAACGUUUUCAGUUUUAUGAGGUAAAGCGAAUGAUUAGAGGCCUGGGGGUUGAAACAACCUUCACCUAUUCUCAAACUUUAAAUAUGUAAGAAGUCCUUGUUUCUUAAUUGAACGUGGACAUUUGAAUGUAUCGUUACUAGUGGGCCAUUUUUGGUAAGCAGAACUGGCGUUGCGGGAUGAACCGAACGCGGGGUUAAGGUGCCAGAAUGCACGCUCAUCAGACACCACAAAAGGUGUUAGUUCAUCUAG